CCUGACUUGAACCUUGAGGUGACUCUAACCCUGGCUGACAGCUUGACUGCAGUCUUUUGCAAAACUCCCAGCCAGAGGUCUCAGCUAAGCUGUCCUGGAUUCCUGAUGUACAGAAAAGAUCGUGAGCCUCAUUGCCUCCCUGCCUGAGAUGAGUGUUUCCAUCUGGACUGGACCAUUCCAUGCAGCCUGGGAGACUCCUUAUCUCUAAGCAUUCCAGUUGGCUUUUGAGUGGAUAAUUGUGGCAGUGAGAGCACUGACGUUGGAAACAACUAGUGCCCGUUUGGAUUACUUAAAACACAACCAUGAAAAGAAAUACGUGUGAUUUGCUUUCUCGGAGCAAGAGUGCCUCUGAGGAAACACUGCAUUCCAGUAAUGAAGAGGAAGACCCUUUCCGGGGAAUGGAACCCUAUCUUGUGCGGAGACUUUCAUGCCGAAAUAUUCAGCUUCCUCCUCUUGCCUUCAGACAGUUGGAACAAGCUGACUUGAAAAGUGAAUCAGAGAACAUUCCACGACCCACCAGCCUCCCUCUGAAGAUCCUGCCACUGAUUGCUAUCACUUCUGCAGAUUCCAGUGGGUGAGUGCCCUCGGGUGACAUUUCCCUGUUUUAUAUUUUUGAUGACGAUUGUUAUCUGUGGUCUUCUGAGUUUUUCUGGAUCAUUGCUUGAUUUGAGUAGGAUGACAAUAGUGUUUUGGGAGUCCAGGGGGGGAAAAAGGAUGAUUUUUCUCAGGUAACAUCUCUACUCUGCAGGAUGAAGCAUUUUAGUCCAUUAUUUUACAAGAAGGCAUUGAAAAUGUAUUGGUGAAAGCUAAUGAGCAUCCAGGCAAAGGGAAUUAUACAUGGAAAAUUAAUAUUGGAUAUUUGUAAUUUAAUACAAGGAUUGUUAACAAAUGAGAACUAAUGGACAAAUUACUGUGUAGGCAUACAUAUGUGGAAACAGCAGGCAGUGCUCAUUGAUGCAAAACGAACUUGGAAUCAAGAAGAGAUUGCACUGUAAUUAGAAUAAAAAGAAAUAUGCAAUUAUAUUCCUGAGCUUAAUAAUUUGGCCUUUGACACUUUGAGGUGUUACUUACCAUAAUACUGUUUUAGUUCUCAACAUAAGGCUAUCUAUUUAGUGUUAGUUCUUAUGAAAGGAUCAGCCAAGGUCACAUCCCUAUCAAAUAACUUUCUACUUCAUAGGUUUUUUUUUUUUCUUUUUCUUGCUAUUUACCAGUACAUUUUUUACUCUUAAUAGCAACAUAAAAGCAGGUUAAAAAAUGUAAAAGAAAACGAGGAGAGUGGGCACAUUCAUUAUUUACUCUGGCCAGCUGCAUUUUUAAGAAGCUUGGAUAGGAAAAAAAGGUGGGGGGAGGAAAUGAAACCUAGUGGCUCACACAGACAGACAAUUGAGCAUUUAAUAAGACUUACAUGAACAAAUCUAUUUAUGCUACAAAUGUGAUUAUUUUUCAUUCUCUGCUUAGUUAAAGGGAUUUUUAGGGGUGGUACCUUUUGUAUUUUGUAGUGAAAUCCAAAAGGUACCAUCCCAAAAAAUCAAGUGCUUGCCUAGCACAUGUGAGGCACUGGGUUCAAUCCUCAGCACUACAUAAAAAUAAAUAAAACAAAGGUAUUGUGUCCAUCUACAACUAAAAAUAUUUGUAAAAGGGAAGUUGUGCUAAAAUAUUUGGCCAGUAACUUGACUCUAAGAUACUGAAUUUAGCUGUUUAGAUUAUUAUAGACCCAUCCAAAGAACUUUUGUUAUUAAAAGACACAGGUCAUUACUACUAGGUAAAUAAAAAUGCAACAAAUUCUUACCUUGAAGCAAAGAAAAGAGGAGCCCCCAGAGCUCAUCAGUUGGUCGUAUUAUUGGCUUUGAUUAUGGCAAAAGAAUUUAAAGCAAAAGGAAAGGGCACACAUGGCAAAAUCUGCAGAAAACAGAUGCAAACUCCCAAAAGCUACUCUCCAAGUGGAGUAAAACAGGAUGCAUUUAAUUCCUCCAAUACUGAGUAGUAACAAUGUGAAAGGUUUUCAUCAGGGAUGUCUUUUACCAGGGCAGCCUACCAGGAACUCAGUGCCUGGAGUUUUUAUUAGGAAGAGGUUAGCUAGGUACCUUCUGACUAGAAUGUACCAAAAUUCCAGACUUCUAAGGAGGAAAGUAUGUGUUCAACAUAAACCACAUUGUUUGCAUAAGCAAUUGGGACACAAUGAGCCACUCUUAAAAUUUAGAGAAUGGUGGGAUACCUCCUGAAAUCUAAGUUCUCAGAUACUAGUUAAGGUUCAAUUUUUCAAAAGAUCCAUUUAAAUUCAAUAGUAAGAGGCUUGAUUAACUCUUCUCUGUAUACCAGGUUUGUCUUAGAAUAAUUGUCUUCUUUCUCCACAUUUGAGGGAGAAGGUAUUAUAAUUAAAUUUAAAUGAACUGAUUUAAGCCCCUAGUAUAUUCAAUUAACUUUGGUAUCUUAAAAUUUGGUGGCUAAACAUGAUUUCUCAUUUCAAGCCCAUGUGCUUGUAAAAGAAAAUGAUUCAGUAAUAGUAUCUCCCUAUAGUUUGGUAAUAUGUAUAAUUAAAAAUCUCAGGUAAAAGCUAGGCUUAUUUAAUUAGAUUUUAAUGUGUUGCUAAAAAAAAAUUGUUUCCAAGAACCAAGGAACUUCAGUAUUCAGAAUUGUCUAUGUCCUAGCACUUCUAUUGUUUCAAAUUUUCUUUUCUCUUAAUCAAGAACGUAAGAAUUAAGUAUGAGCAAUAUUAUGGUUACCAUUUACAUAUUUAUUCAGUGUUAGGAAGCAAAUAAUUUGUCUUUUAUGAAGAUGAGACAAGGAUGACUUCUGUUCCAAAAGACAGCCAAGAGAAAUCACAUAUAAGAAUGCCCAAUCAACAAGAAACAAAGACUAAGGAUUCAUUAAAGUGAUUGUUAUUAUCUUAGGAAGCAAAAGUAAUUUGCAAAUUGAAUAUUGAGUAAUAAGAAAUUCAAAAGUAUAAUUUUCUGGAUUGUCUAAACCUUGAAAAAAAGUAGAAGGUGAAGUCAGGAGUUACAUUCUAUGGCCAUUCAGUUAACUGGAAUCCCAAUUCCUUCAGAGCCAUCAGAAGUGGUUAUGUUAGCUAGCCCUGUUGGCCACAGUCCAGUUCACCAUUAAUAAACCUAAGGGUGUCCUCGGGUCCCAUUGUCAACCUAUACUGAACCUUACUUAGCAUGUGCAUAUUUUGAUGGUAAAGGAGAUGUCUCAUGCCAUUUAAAUUUAUUUUCUUUCCAUUCUUAACAUAACAUUUUGCCAUUUCCUCUGGUAUAUUGCCACAGCAGAGAGCUCUGUCAUAUAUUGGGCAGUGAGUUAUAGGGACUUGUUCUACCCCUUUGGAGAGCCACAUUGUGGCCCUGGAAGUAAUUGGUGUCUGGAAAAGAUGUUUGGCCUGCAACACUAAAUUUUAUGGAUGGCAGCUCUUAGCUUCCUCAUGGUCAGGAGACUGUAUUCAAGAGGGCUUUUAAUUAUUAACAUUUUCAUUAUUCAACUUCCAGUGUUUUCUCAGCAAUAUGAAUAUGUUCAAAUGCACAUUUUAACAAUUUCCUUUGGGUAUGCCUAACACAUUAGGUUGUGUGUAUUCAGCAACUUUGGAAACUUUAAAUGAACCCAAAAUCGAAUUUUUAAGACCUGGUAUGUUGAGAACCUUGAAUUCAUCUAUGAUUUUGUUUUCCAUAGAGGGUAGGAUCAUUCUAGCUUCCUGGCUUUUUAUCAAUCCUCCUUGAAACAAAAGGUUCAGCUAUUAAUGAAAUGUUAUGAAUUUGGCAAGAAGUAAUCUGGAAUGUCAUAAUUUCCUACCUAAAUACUUCUUAAUCCAUUUACAUUUUUUAUUAAGUACAAUUUAUAUGCAAUGAAAUAUAUAAAUAUUAAAUAUACAUCCUGGUGAAUUUUGAGAUAUUUAUAUAUUCAUAUACUAACUACCCUAUUUCUUGACAUUUGUCAAAAAAGAUUAGUUUUGCCUCUUAUUGAACUUCAUAUAAAUGGGAUUUUAUGGUUAUACUCUUUGUGUCUAGCUUCUAUCUUCCAAAAUGUAUUUUUUAAAAUAUUUAUUCAUAUCGGUGUAUAGAUCAUCAGUUUGUUCUUUUAAAAAAAUGUUUUUUAGUUGUUAAUGUACCUUUAUUAUUUAUUUAUUUAUAUGUGGUGCUGAGGAUUGAACCCAGGGCCUCAUACAUGCUGGGCAAGCACUUUAACAUUGAGCCACAAUCCCAGCCCCCAGUUUCUUCUUUCCAUUAUAAUAUAGUAUUCAAUUUUAUGAACAUACCAUAAUUUAUUUAUUCACACUCUUAUUGAUUGAUGAACAUUUGUGUUGUUUCUAGUUUGGAGAUAUUAAAAGUAAAGCUGUUGAGUACUUUCUUAUGCUAAUUAUUUUUGUGAACAUAUGCACUGAUUUCUCCUGGGUGUAGAAUUUCUCUUAGGAAUAGAAUUUAUUAAGUCAUAGUUAGGCAAAUGUUCAUUUUCUAUUGCCCAUCAACUUUCCAAAAUGAGGUACUGUUUUGCUCUUCUACCAGCAAUAUAUGGAAGUCUCAUUUUUUCUGCAUUUUCACCAACAUUUGGUGUUUGUAGUCCUUUUGAUUUGGGUCAUUCUGGUGAAUGUGUAGUAGUAUCCUACCAUGGUCUAAGUUUAUAUUUCUCUGAUAAGUAGUGAUAUUAUUUACCUUUUAAUAUGAUUAUUAAAUAUUUGUAUGUCGUCUUAUGCCAAUUUGUUUUUUCUUAUUUAUUUUUGGAGGUACUUUAUAAAUUCUAGACAUAAGACUUGUAUUAGAUGUAUGUUUCAUAAAGUGAAUAUUUCCUCUCUGACUACAACUUACAUUUUUAUUUUCUGUUUACUUUUAAUACAAUGCUAACCCCAAAGGCUUCUGAAUGUGUUGUGUUUUCAAUGUGUGUGCCUUGAAGAAAACAUGUUACCGAGAGAUAUUGGGGAAUAAGAAUAAGAGAUGGUGGAGCAAUGGAAUUAGGUGGGAGAAAAGAGGAUAGGCAGAUAACAGAGGAAAGCAAUGAAAAACAGAAGAGAGUACAGUAUACAGGGUGGAGAAGAAAAAAGAAAGCAGAAAGUGGAUCCAGUUUAAAAAGGAGAAAGCAAAUAACAAGUAUGAUACUUUUCUCAAAGGGCAGCUUUACCUGGACAUAGGUCCCUUGGUUAUACAGUGUUGGAGAAUAGGACAUCCAGGCACUAAGGGUACAGGCUAUGAGAAGUUGAGAGUGAAAUGACAGCAUGUGUGUGGGGGUGGCUGACAGCGGGCAGUAAGUGGGGGCUCUGGGUGGAGACGGUGUGAACCUGAGUCCUGUCUCACCAUUUCACCAUUUACAAGCCAUAUCACUUUGAAAAGUUACUUAAUCACUCCUAAUUUUACAAGGGCGAGAGUAGGAAUAACAGGGUACCUACCUACCUCCUGAGUUUGCUGUAAAGACAAAAUACUCAGUAUUGUUGCUGGCAUCUUGCAAGUGCUUCAUACAUAAGAGCAGCAACAGCUACUGCUGCGCUGGUAUUGGAGAAGUAUUGGAACAAAUUGUGAUUAUCAUUAUUGAUGUUGUUUGUUUCCUAUUGGAAUCACAUUUUAAAAUCCCCUACUAAUAACUUGUGGGUUGGAAAUAGAUGUUCUAGCAAAUACAGGAGUCAGUCGAAUUAUUUUUUUUCUGAUGCAGAAAUUCACAGUUAUUACGGACAUGUCAUAUUGUGGCAAAAAGUCUUCAUUUUGCUUUUGGCACUUGUCAUUGACAUGUUCUGCUUCCAAGUCCUAUUCAGUCAUGUUUGGAAUGACAGUGGAGGCCCUUCUUACUUCCAUGUCACUUCUGAAAGUAAAUGCUUCCUGACUUCUAAAUUUUUUUUUCCUGCCCAGAGGAGGAAUUAGGAGCUCCUUCUGGCCCUGACUCAGCUGCUGGCUUAAGCUUCCUGGGUAGUCUGUGUACCGCCGGGUACUCUAAGGAGGGCUUAGUUUACCACACAGGUGACAAUCACUGCCUGCACAGGAGAAAAGGCACAGAGGAAGAGGAAAAGGAGGUGGUACUCUGUCUGUCUAGUUUUGUUUCAUGGCUGCGUCAGCUUUCAUAAAAGGAAGGCCAAGGAGAAAGAUGUUCCCUUGUGGCAGGAUGACACACCUCUGAAUGGAUGUAUAUUCAGGGGUAUGUGUGGGAGGAUGAUAUUACAAGCACUUUCUCAUCACUGGUGUCCCAUUACCUGUCUGGAGAAGUACACUGGGUACAUUUAUAUCACCAUGUCCUAUAAAGAAAAGAAAACAAAGAAUUUAAAGGAGGAAAAUGUAACUCUCGGGGAUAAAUUUAACUACUCAGCAGAGUGGGACAGAUAUAGUCAUAUAAGACUUCAUUUUACAAGGAUCUUCUUGACAUACUUCCUUGAACUGUGUGUCAUUCACAGGGGGGCUGGCCCCAGAUGCCAGUUAGACAUUCGAUUCUUUGAUCAACCAUUUAUCACCUAGCCUUCUUGAGGACAAACAGUAUUCUAGAGUGAACAUAAAAAAGAAAAACGAAAAAGAAAACAGUUAGUUUUUUGUUACUAAAUUGAAAUCGAAACAAAAAAAAAAGAAAGAAAAGAAAGAAAGAAACAAUUGUGUUCCAAGCAGACACAUCUGAUGUAUCAAAUUUGUUCUAACUUGAGAAGGUAUUAAUAGUGGACGUUUCAUAUUUGAGGUAUUCUGGUCAUAAGGACUUAUGAAGCUAAAGGGUUAUAUUUCCCAGUCUCUCUAUUCCACAACUUUAUAUUGGGUAUGUGCUCAACUUUCAAGAGACUUAUCUAAUAAGUUAUAUGGGAAAUCUAUAACCUACUAGAUAAAGCUUUCCAAGAUUGAAAAUAAGAUAUAUAAUCAUGAUUGUGAUAGAUUCUUUAGAAAUACAGAAUUCUUGAGCUUGAUAUGGUUCUAAACAUAAUCAAUGCAAAGAAAUGGAGAGGUGAUACUUUUCAUAAUCUUGAAGAAAUAGGCUAUAUGUGUUUAAAUGCUAAGUAUCAGCAUAGUAUUUGUCUGAACUUCUCAGGAUACUCACAGACUAUCCCAGCCUUUUUGUUUUAAAGCAAUGAUUCUGAUUUAAUUAAAUCUAGUCUUAUUUGGACUUUAAAUUUGUGAUUUUCAAGAUUAAAAUUAGACUCUAAAAGUAAUGGCACACUUCACACUGGCUAUAUAAUAUCCUGAUGAAAAACAUUGUACUUCCAGAAUAAGUAGCAAUUCCUGAAUUGCAUCUAAAAUAAACAAUGAAAAUAUGUAUACUGCUUUUUCUCAGGCAUUAAAGAAAUUUGAAAAAAUGACUAUUUUCACUAUGUUCUCAAUGUACAAACUCAUACAAUAAUUAUUAAACUCCAAUUACUUUUUUCAUAUUGUGAUUCUUUUUUACUCCUGUAGUACUUUCUGGCAUCCUUAUUAAGGAUACACUGAAGAAUGAUGCAUCACAAUAUUUUAUUGUAUAUCUGUGUCAGUAUUGUACCUUGUACCAAGGGAAGAGUCUGUUCUUAUAAAUCAAAGUUCUCUAUUUUACCAGGUUCUCAUGGUCCUAAAAAGAGUAGCCAUUUGUGCAUUUACAACAUCAGAGCAUCUGGUCUCCAUUUCCAAUCCUUUGUUGUGCCAGCUUGACUUGUUAUAAUAGGUUGGUUGGGUGUCCCACAUUUUCUAACAAUGAGCCCAUUUAUUUCACUUUGAAAAGUCAGGACACAGUAAUAUAUCCAGCACAGGACAGAGCUGAGAAAAGCACUUUCCCUUAUUUAUUUCCAUCAUAGAAUAAAAAUCCUUUGGUUUCUCAGUUUCUUUGCCAUAAACACUAACUUGCUUGACUAUCCUUAUAUAAUGCAAAACUAUGUGAAAUUAAUCACUGACCACUUUGGGAGGAGUUUAAAAUUCUUUACCACAGCAUUAUUUCAUUUUAUAAUACCCUGUUAUGAAGAAAGUGAGUAAAAGCAUUCUGCAGGAUUGUAUUUAUUAAAUCAUUAUGUGCUCAUAAACAUAUAUAAUCACUCAAAUAAUAUUGAGCAAAGUUCAUCACUAUGAAAAAUCUAAAAUGAGAAAAAUAUGUUCAAGUAAAAUUUAUGAAAGGAUGAAGUGAUAAAAAUCUUAUUUCUCUACAAAUAUAUACUACAUAAGAGCAAUGAGACUUUUUUAAAAAAAUUCAUAAAUAGAAUAGAAACCAUAAGAAAAUUAUAUUACCUCCUAUAUUAUAUACACUUUUACCCUGAAGUGUUUAGUUGAUUAUAUAAUUCUUUAUAACAAUUUAUUAAUUACAUGUCUAUCAUACUUAUUUCUCUCAUUCAUUUGAAAUCUUCCCUUUAUUGGAAAGGAAGUAGUUGGAGUCAGGUAUUUUUAGAUGUAUUCCAAAUCUGUGGAAUUCAAUCAAAAUAAGUGUCAUUUAGUUAGUUCAUUUAAUAUCAUUAGGUAACAUUCUGGAUGAUAGAUUUACUUUAUUCGAUGGAUUAUUAUCAUUUAUGCCAAAGUUAAUGUUUCUGAGGCUGGGAAAAAUGGCACCUUGGUCCACAUUUCCAAAUGAAUCUCAAUCUCAGGAUGUCCUGACUUUUACCAUGAUGUGAUUCCUAAAACAAUUAUGACUAAUAUUAACUAUCAUCACACAGAGAGACAUACCCUGUUGUCUAAAACUGUGCAUAAAAAUAAAGACUUUAGAAUACAUAAAGAAUUUACCAUAUACAAAUAAGAUUUAGGAUGUUGAAUUUAUUCCAUAUGCCUAUACAACACCAUUGACUUUUUGUGACUUUUCCAUCUUUUGGUAAUACAUUUCAUAUUUGUACUCUCUUUGUUUCUCCACUGUUGAUUCUGUGUCCUUGUGAACAUGUGACUAUUGCCAGGCAUGUUUAUACAUAUCUGUAAUCCCAGCAACUUGGGAGACUGAGGCAGGAGAAUCUUAAGUUUGAGGCCAGCCUCAACAACAUAGCUAGACUCUGACUCAAAAUAUAAUAAUAAUAAUAAUAAUAAUGGCCUGGGGAUGUGCCUCAGUGGUAGAGCACCCCUAGAGUUCAAUCCUUAAUACAAUGCACACACAUAAAAAAGUGACUACAGCUUUCUUAUUUCUAUGUUAUUUAAUUCAUAUUGAUGUCAUUUCUUGAAGCCACAUAUCUAUAUAUAUAUAUUGCAUACAGUGAAAAAGGAACAACAGACUACAUGCAAGUAAUACUGAUAUGACUACCCCUUCAGUCAUAUAUGACAUAGAUUAAUGCAUUCACUUUAUAUUCAUCCAACAAAUAGUGUUUGCUGAGACACUGAGGACAAAAGAUUCAACACAACAAACAUUGCUUUUCCUUCACAGAGUACAGAACCAAAUAGGGCACACACAGGAAAAUGGAUAACAACAAUCUUUUUUUCACAUUUUAUGUACAAUUGUGAUUGAGGAAAUCUGGAGCAAUGUGGGAUACCAUAGAGAAGAAAUUAACCUGGGCUUGUGAAGAACUGACAUCUUAGUUGAUUCCUAAAAGAAGACAAUAAAGGCAGAGAAAACAACAGAGACAAAGUCUAGGGAUGAUUAAGCAGUGUCUGUAUUUACAAAUAAAAACCAUUACCAUGACUAGACCAGUAAGUCAUAUGUGAAGUACAAUUGAUAAUAGUUGCCAUUGAUUUUUCAUAUAACCAAAUAUGUGAAGUUUUAGAAUAAUUUCGAAUAGUGCUAAGCAGCCUUGGUAUAAGCACUGAGAGGGUGAACAGUGAGGUUGGUACCAAACUGGAAAACAAGAACAAUGUAAGAAAAACAGGACAAGGUAGUUGAGGGUGUUUGCCAGAGAGUGAAGGAAGUGAUGAUUUGAGUUAAGUAAUUAGGUGGAUGUGGAAAUGAGUGAUUAUAAGAAGGCACUGACAUAGAAAAGGUUCAGGGUCUCUAGAGGUCUCCAGGAUAUCCAACAAGUGAAAUUAGAAUAAUUGAAAAAGCCAAAGAGAUAGAAGGUUGUUUGGAGGAUAGAAUGUUUGAACCUUAACCUUUAAGUGCUAGAGGUAACAUAAGGUAUUUUAAAAGAUGGAGGAGGAUACCAGGAAAGAGGGAGACUGCUGUGGAAAAGAAAUAGUCAAGGAACUGAGAGAUUUGUGCAUGAAGUGAUUCCUCCAUAUAAACAUCAAGGUCACCCAGGAUAGCAGCAGGACUCAAGAUGCGGACGUGCUAGAAAGUGGGCUAAUGUCAAUGAAUGAAGCGCAGUAAUGAGGGGGAUUGGCACAAGUCAGAGAUGAAGUUGAUUGGCAUAGAGGUUUAAGAGGAGGUUUCCACAAGAGGGUAGAGAAGGAAUAAUGACUCAGUCAAUGUGAGUAAUCAGGAGUACACUCACCCCCGCAGCAGGCGGACCCAGAGUAACCUCUCCUUGAGACUCCCUGGGAAAGGGCAUCCUCAAGUAUAAGAAGUCAGGAUGUAAGGUGACUCUGAUAGAAAGGCUGAGAGUGAAGGGAAGUCUGUUCACCAAGUGAUUUGGGAAGAACAAGAGUUGAAUAUGGAGAAGAAAAUCAUAGAACAAAAUGGAGGCAAGAAACUGAAAGAAAACAGAGAAAAAGAGCUUCUGUCCAAGAUGGUUCUCCAAGAUGAUUAUGAGAGCUGAAUUCUCAGAUAUUUUUAAGAAUGGUUCGAUACUCAUUCAGAGAGGAUAAGUUGAGCAUCACUAAAGUCUUUCAGAAAGGCCAUGGAGGUAGAAGCAUCACAGCCUCAGAUACUUAGCAAGGCCCUAAGCAAGUUAGAAAGACUCUGUCUGAAAAUAAAAAGAAAAGGGGGGGGGGCGGAGUGCGGAUGUAGCUCAGAGGUAAAAUGCCUCUGGGUUAAAUCCUCAGUACCAAAAGACAAAAAUAAAAACAACAAAAAAACAACUAUGGAGGUUGUCCUAAUCCAAAUAAAUAGGUCCAUGAUGGUAUUCUUUGGUAGGUUCCUUAGUACUUUGAGCAUCUAGUGGAAACAGCAGCAGCUUCUGGUAUCUGGGGACUUUUGCAUCUUUCAAAUUACUUAGCUAUUUCCUAGAUUUAUUUUAGGAUAUGGAAUAUGAAGAAUGAUCUGAUUUUUUUAAAAAAGAUGUGCAUUAUCAUUUUCAGCCAAGUAUUAUUUGUUUUGAACAUUUUUAUAUCUAGCUCUAAUUAUUUUGCCAGUUAUCGUAACAACUUAAGUGUUCCAAGUUAGCAUUUAAGUUUUCUUUGGAGAAUUUCCUUUCUCAUAAAUGAUCAUUGAAUUAAACUACUGCUUCCUUAAAUAUUCUUAAAUACUAUUUCUGGGAUUCAAGCAUUAUUUUAGUUUAUCACUGCAAAUUUUGGCAAUAAAAUCAAGAAUGAAAAUGAAUUCUAGGUAGAAAAUUUCUAUUUGUUGAAAACAUUCUUUAGUAAACUGGGUUAUGAUUGUGACCUCAGGAAAACAGUAGGGAGGCACGUGCUUGUGGUUUCCCCUUAGCUUGGAUGCACCAUAAUAUUUUCAGACUUUAAUUUAUAGCACCCUGUGAUCUGCUGAUUUUUACUGAAGACUAUCUCACAGAAUUGCAUGGUUGAGACCUGGGGCUAAAACCUAGCUUUGAUGUUUAGGCAAGCACAGUUUUUAUUUUGGUCUCUUCUGUGACCUUGUUGGAGGUUUUUUAAAUUUUUAAUCCAUACCCCUGAAAUAGUACUUGUGACCAGGAUUUAUCCAUAGUAAAGUGUAUCACAUUUAUAAAUACCCUUGUAUUUAUGUUGAUUUAUACCUUGUUCAAAGAGUAUUAAUUAUGUUCCACAGAGACCUAAGGAGAAGAGGGCUCCAUUUGUCUUAGGAAGAAAUGUGAAGGUGAAUUAAUUUUUCAGAAGGUUACUACAACAAAUAAAAAACAGAACCCAUGUCUUCUUAUUUAGGUUUAUAAACUCUGGUAUGUGUAUCCAUAUAAUUAUAUCCCAUCUCUGUAUGAUAUAUCAAAGUACAUAAAUGCAUUCUAGUGUCAUGUAUAAUUAAUUAAAACAUUAAAGAUUUUAAAAAUUGCAUUAAAAUCACAUUUGUGAUUUACUUGCAGUUAUAUUCAUCUAAGUAUCUACUUAGUCUUAAUAUGUCAUGGACAGCGUUUGAGGUGAUGGGAGCAUGUUACAAUAGAUAAAAAAUAAAUAAAAUCAUGAUAUUUUAGUGCUCACAUGCAAUCCAAUAGGAAAAACAUGAGAUGAGUGCUAAUAUCUUUGUUUCCAUAGGAUUUCUCUCUAAGUCAAAGACAUCCUUUGCUGUUGGCAAAACAGUGAAUAGAUGAUAGUGAAGACUCACACUCACAUUCAGGAACAUGGAUUAUUAAGGUGAUCAUUAGGCUAAUGCUUUGGUAACAUGGAACUAUUUAGAACCAAUCUGAAUGAAAAGCAAAAUACAUACAUAUAUCCAUUUUAAGGUUACAGUCCAGGAAAAUGUUUGCCUGUAUGUGUCUAAGAACUGAAAAGUAAGAUGAAAAUUAUUUGAAUUUUUUGGAUAACAGGAUUGGGGGUUUUUACUCUUUCAUUUCUAUUAAUGAAAAUAUGUGUUUAUCCAAAUCAAUAAACUACCACUAUGGAAAGAGAUUGCUCAGAAAAUUGGAAUGGAACCAUCAUUUGACCUAGUUAUCCCAUUCCUCGGUUUAUACCCAAAGGACUUAAAAUCAGCAUAGCACAGUGAUACAGCCACGUCAAUAUUUACAGCAGUUCAAUUCCCAAUAACUAAGCUAUGGAACCCACCCAGGUGUCCUUCAAUAGAUGAAUGGAUAAAGAAAAUGUGAUAUAUAUAUAUAUAUAUA
This is a long non-coding RNA of Marmota monax (woodchuck), 12646 nucleotides long. RefSeq lists it as uncharacterized. The record is from RefSeq and is a predicted model, not a curated record. The transcript has 4 exons. Lineage: Eukaryota; Metazoa; Chordata; Mammalia; Rodentia; Sciuridae.